AGCAUCCUGCGCCGCGCCGCCACCGCGCCCGCCCGGCGAGCCCUGUGCCGCCAGCCCCGGCACUUCCGCGUCCUCCGCCCCCGCGGCCGCGCCGCCCCGCGCUCGGCGGCGCUUGGCUCGGGGGACCGAUGUCAGCGGGGCAGGGGGUGGGCGCUCCCCUUGUACUGGAGGUUCUAUCCCGCGAGGCCGGGGGAUUCCGGCUCUCCCCCCGCUGCCCUGAGCGUUCCUGCUUUCCCCUCCAGCCGCAGGGGUGCCUGGAAAUGCCCGGGUUAAAGCAGAAGGAAGCCCAGGCGUACGAAGAGAUCCGUAUCUCAGCCUGCUUCCUUACAAAUACAGCAUGUAAACUUUCGCUUUUUCUCGUUACGGUAUUAUAAUUCUACCUGCUCGGAAGUCUAGGCAGUUGACCUAUUUUGCUCCUGACAGAAGUCUUUUUAUGCUGCCUUUCAUCUUGCUUGUCUACUCUUCCCCCCCAACAAAACACCCUGAAGAAAUGUUUCUAAAUAAACAUCAAUCAGCAAUCCUGGUAAUCUUCAGGAGUAAUCUGGAGAACUAGGGCUUGCUCACUUUCUUCCUGAAGGUCUACCAUUUUAUUUUAGCUCUAGCAAGGCUAGAAUUAUUUUGUCUGUAUUAAAAUUGAUCUGAAUUCC
Molecule: long non-coding RNA, 647 nt
Organism: Taeniopygia guttata (zebra finch)
Lineage: Eukaryota; Metazoa; Chordata; Aves; Passeriformes; Estrildidae
Source: RefSeq, a predicted model, not a curated record